RNAcentral lists this long non-coding RNA (782 nucleotides) under Musa acuminata (dwarf banana). RNAcentral's name for it is "long non-coding RNA (MACU_LNC006274)". Lineage: Eukaryota; Viridiplantae; Streptophyta; Magnoliopsida; Zingiberales; Musaceae. The record is from RNAcentral.
GAGUAACUUGUGCUAGUUUUGCUGAGAAAUACUCUUUCUACUUUCAUGAAGUUGAGGAAGUUUUCCUCAGAAGCCAUGGCUGUAAGCUGACAGAUGGCUGAAGAUUGCGGAUGUUUACUUCCUGAGAUGAUUUGAAUAUGGAGUUCUGUCAUUCUGUUGGCUUCCAAAAACGCAUGAAAUGGAUGGUUAUAAGGGCAAUCUACUUAAUUCAUCUUUGUUAACAUGUCUCUCUAUCAAACCAUUAAACUAUGCCGUACAAUGGCUUGUCCGUGUGGGCCUAUAUAUGAUGGAAUUGCCAUGUAACACCAGUGAAAUACCUGUAAGAGUGGGUAGCAGUGUUCGUACGUGUGCAUGAAUCACAUACGUUCAUCUCUAUCUGCAAUAAAGUGGUCCAAUACUCAUGCAGGUGGAAACAGUCCCCGCAGAACAGGAAGCUCCUGCCCAUGACGUAGAGGAGGUGGUGGUCAAGGAAGAGACCCCAGCUGCCGUUGCUGAUGAAGCCAAAGUAGAAGUGGAAGCAGCCCAACCCGCCAUCGAAGUGGUGGAAUCCGAGGAGAAACCUGCAGAAGAGGAGAAAGCAGAAGAAGUCGUAGUUGCCGAGGAGGUCACAGAGGAAACCAAGCCAGACACAGAACUGGCAGCACCUGAUGCAACUCCAGAAGAAACCACAGCUCCAGCUACUGAGGAGACAGUGGAGUCUCCUGAAGCUGAAGCCGCCGUCGAAGAAGAAGAGGCGGCGCCUACUGCAGUUGAGGAAACCAAGGUCGAAGUGGAGACCCCCG